CGCCUUGCCAGCCCGCUCAGAACUCAAAGGAAUUGAGGGGGCCCCGCACAAGCGGAGGAACAUGUGGUUUAAUUCGAUGAUACGCGAGGAACCUUACCUGGGCUAGAACGCAAUCGGAAUCAGGCCGAAAGGUCUGCGCCAGCGAUGGCCGCUUGCGAGGUGCUGCAUGGUUGUCGUCAGCUCGUGCCGUGAGGUGUCGGGUUAAGUCCCAUAACGAGCGCAACCCCUACUGCUAGUUGCCAGCGGGUCAUGCCGGGGACUCUAGCGGAACUGCCAGCGUAAGCUGCGAGGAAGGUGGGGAUGACGUCAAAUCAGCACGGCCCUUACGUCCAGGGCUACACACGUGUUACAAUGGCCAGUACAGAGGGCAGCCACCCCGCGAGGGGGCGCUAAUCCUAAAAGCUGGUCCCAGUUCGGAUCGGAGUCUGCAACCCGACUCCGUGAAGCUGGAUUCGCUAGUAAUCGCGCAUCAGCCACGGCGCGGUGAAUACGUUCCCGGGCCUU
This 504-nucleotide ribosomal RNA is filed under the name uncultured Rikenellaceae bacterium. RNAcentral's name for it is "bacterial SSU rRNA". It matches the Rfam family "Bacterial small subunit ribosomal RNA", at positions 903 to 1382 of the family's 1533-position model. The record is from RNAcentral. Lineage: Bacteria; Pseudomonadati; Bacteroidota; Bacteroidia; Bacteroidales; Rikenellaceae.